Molecule: long non-coding RNA, 5268 nt
Filed under: Nicotiana tabacum (common tobacco)
Lineage: Eukaryota; Viridiplantae; Streptophyta; Magnoliopsida; Solanales; Solanaceae
Description: long non-coding RNA (NTAB_LNC004667)
Source: RNAcentral
GGCGCCUCACCAGACUUCAGUCGAGGUGCUGCAUAAAAGCGAUUAACAAGCGCACACCUGGGUUAAGGCACAAGGCCUUUAGCAUGUGCAUCUUUCAAGCCAAAAAAGGGGGGUUUGGGGGGGGAUUAGGAUCCAGGAAAGGAAAAGGAAAUCUUCUGCAGGAGCAAAAGAGACAAACUCAUGAGACUUGAGAAGACAAUAGAGAACAAACAACUUGAGAAGAUCAUCAACGAUCUCAAACGGAAGAAGUGCAGGAAAGAGAGAUCUUCACAGAAUUCUUCUUUCUUCUAAUUCCUUUCUUUAUUUUUUUCUUUUGGUAAACAUUAGACUGCCUGCAUCUUUUUUUUCCUCUAUUUCUUUUCUUUUCUCUAUUGGGGAAAAUAGAGAAUCAAGUUCUGCUGCUAAGCCUCCAUUUCUUGUUUUCUUCUUCUCCUAGUGCGCUUCUUCUUUCUAUGGCCUGUGGAAGCCUCUGUCAUUUUUUUUUUCUUUUCGGGAAAGAGAUAACUAUUUAUAGUUAAGAGACAUAAAGUGAUUUGUCUUUUGAUGAUAAUCAGAAAACUCAAAAAACUUAAUUAAUAUACACCAAGAUGGUGUUAGGUUUAUUAUAAAAACAUUAAAUAGAAGGAUGCAUAAGCUCCCCAAGAACCAAGCUAAUCGUCUAUACAGUAAGGAACUUCCUGUUUAGACCAAAAGAGCACUAGGAAAAACAGAGGAUUAUAAUUUAACAAUGAAUGUCCAGUUCCCUCAAACGUUAUCAUACUCCUCUCUCUCUGCAUUUCUAGAAAUUUAUUGCACGGAGCGGUUCUCCAUAACUUUCUCCUAUCACAUUUAGCUUAUCCAAUCUCCAACUCACCAGUACUCUUUUCUCGAGAAAAAAACAAUGGAUGUUGAAAAUGAAGAACAUCAUGGCUCAUAGUUUUGUUGCAGACUUACAAUAGGUGAUCCACGCGUUCAUCAUGAUUUUUACACGUGAACACCAAUUGACCACUAUGCAUCUCCUUCUUCUUGGGUUGUUAAAAUUGGCUUUGAACUCAAGUAAGGUCGUUGAGUUGUUAAAAUUGCUCUCGACAUUGCAUACCAUGUAAAAAGUACCUCUUAGGUACCUCCAUUUUCCAUGUUGUUGACCAAAUGGAUAUUGUACACCUUCAUCAAGUAAGAAGUUAUAGAUGUCGUCAUGUCGUUACUUAAAAACAUUUUCAUUAGGAGCUAAAUUUGGAUUAGUAUAUAAAAGAUUUGGACUAGAGCAAGAAACUAGGUUAAAAUAAGUAUUAGGUUAGAGUGGAAUGAGAAUUUGAGAGUGAGCAGAGAAGUAGGAUUCCAAUCCUAAACCUAAACCUAAUAUAGGAGCAAGUGAAGAAUUAGGAUCCCAAUUUAACCCAAACCAUAGACGUAGUCCUUAUUCUAAUCUAAGUCCUAAUCCAAGUCCUUGUAGUAACACAGGUCUAAAUCCUAAACCUAAUAUUUGUUCCUAAUUCUAGCACCCAGUUCUACUUCUAAUUCUGAUCCUACUACUAUCAUGGGAAACUUACUCUAUUCAUCAGCUUCAGCUUUAGAAAAGCAGCUAUUUGGUCUGAAUGGAGCUCCAAACAAACUUGGUUCCAAAAGACAGCAUGACCCACAAAUAAUUACAGGACCAAAGCCGAUAAAAUCAGCACAUGUGAUACUAUGUGUGACUAAAGAUAAAAAAGUCAAAUUUUCUGAAGAUGGAAUUUCUCUCAUUCAUAAUGUUGUAACAUAGCCAUAGUUUCAUUUGGAGGCAGAAGCCAAUAUGGUAACCAACUACCCAUAUGGCAUUGUUUCAUGGAAUGUGAUUCACUCAAGAAUGAAUAUUAAUCUUCAAAAAAUGGAGUUUAGGCCUAUCUUAACUCCAAAAGCUAGCUAUGAGAAUUGCCCAAGCCCAUAAAAGGAGACAACAGUCCUUUCUCUCAACCAAUAUGGAAAAUUCUGACACUGCACCCUCCACCUAUGCCCCAGACCUGAACAUUGUGGAUAACAUAACAUGGGGGCCCAACAUUGAGAAACACAACAAUAAAGAUGAGUUUGGCUCUAAUACCAUGUAAAGAAAAUGGACCUUGGGCCUAAUUCAAUCUCAAAAGCUAGCUCAUGAGAUGAGAAUUGUCCCAAACCAAACAAGGAGAGAACAAUGUACUCCUUCAACGAAUAUCUAACAGAAACAAGAAAAGCACAUCUAUUUAAUGGCUUGUUAAUAUGAAUCCUAAUAGCAAUUACAACGAAAGUGUGAUGCGCCUCAUGUAUUAACAAAUAUUGACUAGAGCCAUUUCAAACCUUAAUUUCAUAUCAUGUAUAUGAAAGGAGAAAGAAAAAUAUAUAUCUUUGUUUCUUUAGGAACAAGCUCUGAGUGAGGUGACAUAACAAAUGUUAAGAUAUUUGAAAGAAAAAAAUUUAGUUGGGUGUUUGAUAUAUAAUCAAGUUAUAGUAUAUCAAAUAUACUCAAAGGGAAAGAGUAGCAUAUUCUCUUUAAAAGAUAUUUGAAAGAGAAGGAAGACCAAAGAACAUGAGGACCCAUACCUCAUGCAUGCUAAAAAGGUCUAAGAACGUAUAUUAAUAAUAUAGAUAAAUGAGAAAGUGAGGAUGAAGAAGCAAAAGUCUAUUUCUAUCCUAUGAGGCGGGGACAAGGGCACAAUUGUUUAAGGAACAAAAUAAAGCUGUAACAGAUAUAGGAAUGUCAUAAUUAUGAGACUGAGGUGGGAUAGUCAUUGUGAAGCGGUGUGCAUGAUUUAAAAAAUGAUGCAAAACAAAAGUAAAAUGCACCCUUGCCUGACACCAAAAGAUUUUUUAGCAUCAAGAGGGGGAUUUUUUCAUUAACUUAUUCUCCACCCCACCACUCCAAUCUUCCAUUAGUGAAAUGCGGUAAUUCAAACCACCCGACCUUUCCAAUCUUCUAUCCUGUGAACCAUCACGUGGAAUGGUACUAUUACCUCAAUCCUUGAAGGUCCAGAUGCAGCAGCUCCUAACUCCCAUCAGGGCUAACCACCUCCUAAUAACACAGAAAUUGUUAGCACUGUCACACCUACUCUGCAACUUCAUAAUACCAUGGUAAAGAAGUUUUCAGCUGUAAACCCCUAGAGACAAAAUUCUCAACCCCGUGGAUUUGGCAAUAAAAUACUUUGAGAUUCAUCAAGUACCUAAUACUAUGAAGAUAAGCUAUAUCCGGAUAGAUAUAAAAGGGGGGAUCCACCGAUAGUUUGACAGUUCUAUGAUAGAUUAUGGUGGGUAAUUUGUACGAAGACAUCAUUUGUGAUGUUUAUAGAAGGUCUGGAAACACUAGAUUUCUGGAUAGAGAUUGACAAAUUCAGUGAGCUCAGUAGGCCAAUGACGUGGAAGCUUAUCUAUAGAAGUUUGAAGAACUGAGGUCUUACAUGCUCAUUAAAAGACCCUUCAUUCAUGUGAAUCCAAUUCCUGUUUCAAUUAGAGACUAAUGCCUAGGAUAUUUAACCUAAUAGUACCUAUAAAAAAGAUAAGGAUAUCUAAUCCAACAAUUCUAACAGAUCGUAAGAAGGAGCAAAGUAGCACGAGGAAUCUAUCAAUGGGAUUAACAAACUUCUACUCCAUAGUCCAAUUACCCUCCAAUAACAAAUCUGAACACCAAGCACCUACACAACGGUUCCUCAGCCAUAUUUCCAUACUAUCGAGUCUUCCACUUACAAACCUUUUCAACUUUCUGUAACCUUACAUACAAUCGACCAAGAGAAUAGAAGUUAGAAGUACUUUAUCGAUGCAAGCAAAAACCCCUCAAUGCCAAUGAAGGAGGGGAUAGCAGAAAAUAUUGGGGAGGUUGAUGCAGAGGCAAUUCAAGAGAGCGUGACACUGAAUGGUGUCCACGGGUGUCAAAUUCCCCCAUGACCAUCCAAAUUGUUCGAACCACUAAGAGGUGGGCAUAAAAGCAGCUCAAAUUCAGGGUUAUUCUUGGCAAUAUGGCCAUGCAAGUUACUACGGGCAAUGAUCACAUUCACAGGACCUUAUGGUCAAAAAUUCAGUAAAUAUGUGUCAAUAAUAGCUUUCUAGAAAACAAUACGCACUUAUACAAGAAGCUGACCCACUUGAAAAUAAUGCAAACUAUACAUCAACUUGGGAGAAGACGUAAAACCUUAGAACGCACACAGCCCUAGAGCCAAACCUAAACAGGCAAUAGGCUGACACAUGACUUAUACCAUCAGCUACAAUCGAACUUGUUGAGAUAUGCAAGGUGAAUCUUUCAUUUUCAAUUUCAGAAUGCAUAAGGUUAACCUCAAGUUAGAAAUGGAUUGAUUGACCUCUAUUCCCCGAUUAUGUUAGACUUGUGACGUAACCAAGUGUCCUUCUGGUGAUGAUAAGGGAGAAUCAACGGGUACUAGGUGGGCUCACAGAAGGAAAUGGCUGCUUAAACUUUUUCAGCAAUGUGUUAUUCAAGUGUUCUCCAUUGCAACAGCCAACAAGUAUAUAAACUCUAUGAACUGACGGAGUAAAAAAGAUUUACACAAUGAAGUCACUUAAAAGGCAACAGCAGGUAGCUCUCUACACAAACAUAAAUUAGUAACCUUAAGAAAAUGGAAAGCAAUCUUCUAUAAGGUGAAAGUACACUGAUAAUGUAAAAUAUGUUUACACUGUAAGGGCAUAUAACUUAAACUCUUGCAACAAAGCUGAACAAAGAGAAUCCCCUAUAAUCUGUUUGAUUUCUAGUUUGUUAGAGUCAGUUAAAACUUAAAAAGAAUUUCUAGCUGGAGCAUGUCAGCUCUCGGCUCCAUAAAUUGAGGUUACAAUCACACGAACUUCCAUUUUAGCUUCUUAUAAUUGUUCCUUAUUUCUUUUACUCGCAAUCAGUAAUCACAAGUUCACAACAAUCACGUAUCCAUAUUGCUUCAUAAAUUCAUCCAUAAACAUUAAACUAAUGAGAUAAAAUAGAAUUUACCAUUUGUUGGUUCGGUUUCUGCUGAUUGAGGAAUUACAACUGAGGAACAACGACAUCAGUUAUCAACACUUUACCCCGUGUAAACACCUUAAAAUUGUAUCAUUUGCUUCUUAGAUUGCUCCAGUUUGGAGAGAGCGGCUGUUAUUGAACAACUUUUUUGGCUUUUUUUCUCGUUUUCUGAACUAAAAUGCGUUUUUCUUCGUUAAUGGCAUGAGGCCCAUUGCCCAAUUGUUGAGCGAUUGAUUCUGUUUUCAUUUUUCCUUCUUUCUUUUUUUUUUAGCCGCCAACCCCAUCGUUUGGUUUUAGGUAUCAAAACUCACUCUAAUGUCUGAACCAUAGAAAUAUGACUCUGAUUUAAC